UGGGGUAUAUUGCACAAUGGAGGGAACUCUGAUGCAGCGACGCCGCGUGAACGAAGAAGGCUUUCGAGUCGUAAAGUUCUUUUAUAUGGGAAGAUAAUGACGGUACCAUAAGAAAAAGCCCCGGCUAACUACGUGCCAGCAGCCUCGGUAAUACGUAGGGGGCUAGCGUUGUCCGGAAUCACUGGGCGUAAAGGGUUCGCAGGCGGAAAUGCAAGUCAGGUGUAAAAGGCAGUAGCUUAACUACUGUAAGCAUUUGAAACUGCAUAUCUUGAGAAGAGUAGAGGUAAGUGGAAUUUUUAGUGUAGCGGUGAAAUGCGUAGAUAUUAAAAAGAAUACCGGUGGCGAAGGCGACUUACUGAGCUCAUUCUGACGCUGAGGAACGAAAGCGUGGGUAGCAAACAGG
RNAcentral lists this ribosomal RNA (403 nucleotides) under Verrucomicrobiota bacterium. RNAcentral's name for it is "Verrucomicrobia bacterium partial 16S ribosomal RNA". It matches the Rfam family "Bacterial small subunit ribosomal RNA", at positions 355 to 776 of the family's 1533-position model. The record is from RNAcentral. Lineage: Bacteria; Pseudomonadati; Verrucomicrobiota.